Molecule: ribosomal RNA, 875 nt
Filed under: uncultured Candidatus Nitrosopumilus sp.
Lineage: Archaea; Thermoproteati; Nitrososphaerota; Nitrososphaeria; Nitrosopumilales; Nitrosopumilaceae
Description: bacterial SSU rRNA
Rfam family: Archaeal small subunit ribosomal RNA
Source: RNAcentral
CCUGACUGCUAUCGGAUUGAUACUAAGCCAUGCGAGUCAUUGUAGCAAUACAAGGCAGACGGCUCAGUAACGCGUAGUCAACCUACCCUAUGGACGGGAAUAACCUCGGGAAACUGAGUAUAAUGCCCGAUAGAACAUUAUACCUGGAAUGGUUUAUGUUCCAAAUGAUUUAUCGCCGUAGGAUGGGACUGCGGCCUAUCAGUUUGUUGGUGAGGUAAUGGCCCACCAAGACUAUUACAGGUACGGGCUCUGAGAGGAGUGGCCCGGAGAUGGGUACUGAGACACGGACCCAGGCCCUAUGGGGCGCAGCAGGCGAGAAAACUUUGCAAUGUGCGAAAGCACGACAAGGUUAAUCCGAGUGGUUUCUGCUAAAGGAACCUUUUGUUAGUCCUAAAAACACUAACGAAUAAGGGGUGGGCAAGUUCUGGUGUCAGCCGCCGCGGUAAAACCAGCACCUCAAGUGGUCAGGAUGAUUAUUGGGCCUAAAGCAUCCGUAGCCGGCUCUGUUAGUUUUCGGUUAAAUCCAUAUGCUCAACAUAUGGGCCGCCGGGAAUACUACAAAGCUAGGGAGUGGGAGAGGUAGACGGUACUCCGUAGGAAGGGGUAAAAUCCUUUGAUCUAUGGAUGACCACCAGUGGCGAAGGCGGUCUACCAGAACACGUUCGACGGUGAGGGAUGAAAGCUGGGGGAGCAAACCGGAUUAGAUACCCGGGUAGUCCCAGCUGUAAACUAUGCAAACUCAGUGAUGCAUUGGCUUGUGGCCAGUGCAGUGCCGCAGAGAAGUCGUUAAGUUUGCCGCCUGGGAAGUACGUACGCAAGUAUGAAACUUAAAGGAAUUGGCGGGGGAGCACCACAAGGGGUGAAGCCUGCGGUUC